AUCCAGGGAUGGGAACCCACAGUAUUCCGCUUACCAGGCAGAUAACAUGUCCACUAGGCUACCCUGGA
Cordylochernes scorpioides is the source of this 68-nucleotide non-coding RNA. NCBI's taxonomy places the organism in Eukaryota, Metazoa, Arthropoda, Arachnida, Pseudoscorpiones, Chernetidae. The record is from the annotation of a GenBank genome assembly.